GUAAACGAUGCCAGUACAAACGUAUUUACGUACUCUUAUUUUGAAACCGGAAGAUCAGAAAUAGCGUCGCUAUGGUAACGGAAGAAACUCUGCAACGAUUAGCGUGUUAGCAAUUCUGACUUCUUAAUUUCUUCUUGCUUGUUGUAUAUGGUUUUACUUAGCUAGCGUUACUUUAUUGACAUGCGAUGGGGUCUGAUACAUACCUCAUACGACCUAAUCAGCAGUACAAGUUUAAGCCAGCCAUUGUGAAGGAGUGCAUUCGUGAAAUUGUGAGGGAGCGACUGUCGGGGAUACUGUAUAACUCAGAGGAAGUCCCAGAGCUGUCCCGUUCACUGGCAGACGCCAUUAAGGAAAAAGUGAAGAAUGCAGGGUUUGACAGAUAUAAGCUUGUCGUGCAGGUGGCAAUUGGAGAACAACGAGGACAAGGAGUCAAGAUGUCUUCAAGGUGUUUGUGGGAUGCUGACACAGACAACUAUGCAGAAGAUGUUUUCAUGAACGACAGCUUGUUCUGUGUGGUGGCAGUUUUCGGAAGCUAUUACUAUUGAGGACAAGAGGAUGGACGACAGUUCUUUCACAUAAAAGAGGUGAACAUCCAAAUGAGAUUGCUUGCCAUUAGCCCUUCGGGUCCACAGUGCGUCAAUCUGAAGUAACUAUAGAUGUAUUUGGUGCAUCAGGACACAUGACCUUCAGUGAAGGAUAUCUGUGCUGAUACAGUAGUGAUGUUACAAUGAAAGACUUCAACAGGGUUUACAGACUUGGAAACAUUUAAUGUCUAUUCAGCAGACUUGCUAGAUUGGUAGAAUUUUUGUAAUCACAACUGAAUGUACUGCAGUACAGUGCGUAUAUGUACUACACUUUGGGUGCAUGACUUAGCACAGCAUCUACAGUAGAGGUGGGUAUUUGUCUCUGAUUGUCAACUACAUGAAAUGGAUAUUACUGUUGAGAUGAGUAGAAAGCCACAACCACAGCACUUGCUUUAUCGCCUUUGUGGUGCAGGGAAUGAAUUCCCCCAAAUAUCAAUUAAAGGUCC
RNA transcript from Etheostoma cragini (Arkansas darter), 1030 nucleotides. It is a transcript of the gene named Tctex1 domain containing 2, with no coding region annotated. The transcript has 6 exons. NCBI's taxonomy places the organism in Eukaryota, Metazoa, Chordata, Actinopteri, Perciformes, Percidae. The record is from RefSeq and is a predicted model, not a curated record.